AAGACAAAGAACGAAGCCACAUAAAAAAUCUGAAAGAAUUUAUGAUAUUGGUAUACAGGCAUACAAGUUAAGGUCUACUUCCCUGCAGACUGCCAUGGAACUUUCAUUGCUCGAAGCUGUGGCGCGCCGUUUUGUGACUGGAUUUCUUGGACGCUUCAUCUCUAGUGGCUGUUUAAUUUUAGAAGAGGAAGGAGGCACAAG
This 201-nucleotide unclassified non-coding RNA is filed under the name Hevea brasiliensis (rubber tree). The record is from RNAcentral. Lineage: Eukaryota; Viridiplantae; Streptophyta; Magnoliopsida; Malpighiales; Euphorbiaceae.